AGUGAACGCUGGCGGUAGGCCUAACACAUGCAAGUCGAACGGCAGCACAGUAAGAGCUUGCUCUUACGGGUGGCGAGUGGCGGACGGGUGAGGAAUACAUCGGAAUCUACUUUUUCGUGGGGGAUAACGUAGGGAAACUUACGCUAAUACCGCAUACGACCUACGGGUGAAAGCAGGGGAUCUUCGGACCUUGCGCGAUUGAAUGAGCCGAUGUCGGAUUAGCUGGUUGGCGGGGUAAAGGCCCACCAAGGCGACGAUCCGUAGCUGGUCUGAGAGGAUGGUCAGCCACACUGGAACGGAGACACGGUCCAGACUCCUACGGGAGGCAGCAGUGGGGAAUAUUGGACAAUGGGCGCAAGCCUGAUCCAGCCAUACCGCGUGGGUGAAGAAGGCCUUCGGGUUGUAAAGCCCUUUUGUUGGGAAAGAAAAGCAGCAGGUUAAUACCCCGCUGUUCUGACGGUACCCAAAGAAUAAGCACCGGCUAACUUCGUG
This 492-nucleotide ribosomal RNA is filed under the name uncultured bacterium. RNAcentral's name for it is "partial 16S ribosomal RNA". It matches the Rfam family "Bacterial small subunit ribosomal RNA", at positions 29 to 507 of the family's 1533-position model. The record is from RNAcentral.